GGCUCUGAAUAGGCAAACAGGGCUGUUGCUGACAUAGACACACAAAUGUAAGGUCAUUUUGGAAACGCAGCCAUCACACUGACCUAAUGGUAUCUGUGACUUAUUUUCCAAUCCAGGGCACAAAACAGCUUCUGCUAGCAAACGUGUCCUGCCAGACACGUGGAGAAAUAGAAAGUUGAUGGCCCCAGUGAAUGGGACACAGACAGCCAAGAACUGCACAGAUCCCGGUCCUUGUACUCCUAAUGAGGAGAGUGAACAUGAAAUUUAUCAUCCAAACUGUGACACUUUUGAGAGAAGGGGAUACUAUUCAUUAUACUGGACAGCAGAUGUGAAUCAGGACUGUCCUAGAGAAACCAGAGGAUAUAAAAGAUCCAAUAAUGACAACUGCUAUGUUAUUCAUAAGAGUUCAUUCAUACAGGAGUUGAUUUCAUGCUUGUGUUUCAUGAAUAAAGGGUCAAUCAAGUCAACAAAUAUGAGGGCUGAGUUGUUUUUCCCCAAAAGAUAUGGUGAAGUCCUAACCUGCUAUUUGUAAAUGUGACCUUCAUUGGAAAUAGGGUCUCUGCAGAUGUACUUGGUCGAGAAGAGGUUAUGCUGGAUGAAGGUGGGCCCUAAAUACAGUCACUGGUGUCCUUAUAAAAAGUCCAUGUGAAGACACAGGGACAAAGAGGGGGAGGCCAGAUAAAGACAGGGGCAGACAUUGGGGUGAUCUGGGCCCACAAGCCAAGGAAUGCCAGGGACUGCCAGCUGUCACAGAUGCCGGGAGAAAGACAUGGUGCCAAUUGCCCCUAAGUCUCCAGAAGGAACCAACCCUGUCGACACUUUGAUAUUGAAUUUCCAGCCUACAGAACUGUGAUAAAAUACAUUUCUGGGCUGGGCACGGUGGCUCACACCUGUAAUCCUAGCACUUUGGGAGGCCAAGGCAGGUGGAUCAUGAGGUCAGGAGUUAGACACUAGCCUGGCCAAUAUGGUGAAACCCUGUCUCUACUAAAAAUACAAAAAUUAGCCGGGCACAGUGGCAUGUGCCUAUAGUCCCAGCUACUCGGGAGGUUGAGGCAGAAGAAUUGCUUGAACCUGGGGGCAGAGGUUGCAGUGAGCCAAGAUCGUGCCACUGCACUCCAGCCUGGCGACAGAGCGAGACUCUGUCUCAAAAAAAAAAAAAUUCUGUUGUUUUAAGUAUAUAAUACUUUGUUAAGACAGUCCUAAGAAACUCUAUUGUAAAAGCUUUAAUAUAAG
RNAcentral lists this long non-coding RNA (1233 nucleotides) under Pan troglodytes (chimpanzee). RNAcentral describes it as "lncRNA (ENSPTRG00000052921.1)". Lineage: Eukaryota; Metazoa; Chordata; Mammalia; Primates; Hominidae. The record is from RNAcentral.